AAUUUUUCUCCAUUCCCACUAAAAAGGAGAAAUCACUUCAUUUCAUUUCAGUAGUGAGCCAAGCCCCUUCUCCCCCUUUCUCCGAACAUAGAAUUAAGGUCUGCAAACCCUAGCCUCUCUUCGUCGAUCCGUCCAUCUAUCAAGCUACUGCCGCCAUCCGUCGCACGCAGGGGGUUCUCUUUGUCCGUCGAGCUAAUGCCCCUCCAUCCCCUUCUCCAAUCUUCUUCCUUUAGCAAAAUUGCGUGUAGCCCUUGCCCCUGACUCCACCUCGCAGCUUCUUUGUGGAGCUUGGCAGCCGUCGUCUUUGUCCUAAUUUUUCUCAAGUUCUCCUACCUCUGCUCUGCUUCAUGCCUCCGCCUCAACCAUCCAGUUGGUCUUUGUUGCUGCUUCCCCCGGGUCAUCAGUGGUGCCUCUUUGUUUUCCCUAUUGGUUGUCGUUGCUAGGUAUGUGGUUGUCGAUGUCGUUGCAUCUGCUUCUGCUUUAGACACUCAUUAAUUGGGGCUUGUGAUUGGAGCUCCUAAGUUCUGAGUUAUGCAGGUCAAGGGCCCCCCGAGUUGAGUUUCUAGCUACUGAUUUUCUCCUAAUUUAACUCUAUUUCAUAGAUUUUUUCUUAAAUUUUGUAUCUUUUAGGUUUAACCUAUUGAUUUUGGUUGUUUAUAUUGUUGAAUUAAACUUGAAUGCUUAACUGUUUAGUGCCCCUGAUUUGAUUAUUUUAUAUUGUUAUGGGAUAGAAAUAAAAAUUUUAAAAUAGAACAGCCAAAAGAGUGAUUGAUAUAAACCAGAAUUUUGAUAUAGCAGCACAAUGCUAUUAAUGAUGUGCAGUUGAAUUAGUAUUGCAAGUUGAACUUGAAUGUUCAAGGGUUGAUUUGAUGUAUUUUUUAUACUAUUUGCUAUAUGAUGCUUAGAAAAAACCUCGAUUGCCAUUUGUUCUGUCUUUCGUUCUGAUUUUAAUAUUGCUGCUCUACUGGUCUUAUUUUCUUGUUGCAAAAAUACUUCGCCGGUUCGCACUUGUAUGCAGAGGUUCAGGCCUAAGAACCAAGAAGCUUGGAACUUGAGAGAUGGGUUGAUGGGUGUGUGAGGAACACGGGUUUGAAUUGUUCGACUGACAAGUUCCUACAUCUUGAGAACAUGAAGCUGCCAGAGAUAAGCAGCGUGUUUAUGAAUAAGAGUAUGACACUUGAUGAAUGUGACAGUCUGUGUAAGAGGAAUUGUUCAUGCACUGCAUAUGCAAACAUUGAUAUCAGAAACGGAGGAAGUGGCUGUGUUAUGUGAAUUGGUCAACUCUUUGACAUGAGUGUCUACUGUACGGAUGGCCAAGAUGUCUAUGUCAGAUUGGCUGCAGCUAAUAUAGUUUGGUGACACACAGGAUCUACUAGCUCCAACAAGACUCAUAGAGUAGUACAGGUUAUUGGAAUCAUAUUUAGUGCACUUGUUUUAGUUUUUGGAUUGGUUGCUAUUUGUUACUUAUGGAAGAAGGGAAAACAAAGAUCUAGAGCCACUAUUCCAGGUUUUGUCCAUAGAAAUCAUGAUUGGUUAAUGAAUGAGGUGGUGCCUUCUAGAAGAUACUUGGGUGAUGAAAGGAACAUGGAUGAUCUAGAGUUGCCAAUGUUUGAUUUUGAUACCUUAAUGAUGGCUACAAACAAUUUCUCUCAAGAUAAUAAACUUGGAGAAGGAGGCUUCGGUAGUGUUUAUAGGAUUGAUUGAAGGCCAAGAAAAUGCUAUAAAAAGAUUGUCAGAAGACUCUGGAUAAGGAAUUGAAGAAUUUAAAAAUGAAGUCAAAUCAAUUGUCAAACUACAACACCGAAAUCUUGUUCGGUUGCUUGGUUGCUGCAUUAAGAAAAAUGAGAUGUUGGUAUAUGAAUAUAUGAAAAAUAGAGGCCUUGAUUCCAUUUUAUUUGGUAACUUGCAUUAUUUACUUAGAUUUUUCUAUUUUGGUAGUAAUUAUAAAAUUGGCCUCAGUUCCUAACUUCCUAUGCUUCAGAUAGAUGUCAUUCAAUUUGUUUUGGAUAGAUGAUUCAAAUCAUGAUGAUUACUAAAGUAAUUUUAUUGAAAGGUUUCAAGCUAU
Non-coding RNA from Arachis ipaensis, 2065 nucleotides. Lineage: Eukaryota; Viridiplantae; Streptophyta; Magnoliopsida; Fabales; Fabaceae. The record is from RefSeq and is a predicted model, not a curated record.